UGAACGCUGGCGGUAUGCUUAACACAUGCAAGUCGAACGGAAACGAUACUAGCUUGCUAGUAGGCGUCGAGUGGCGGACGGGUGAGUAACGCGUAGGAAUCUGCCUGAUAGUGGGGGAUAGCCCGAAGAAAUUCGGAUUAAUACCGCAUAAUCUAUUCGUAGUAAAGUGGGGGACUUUCGAGCCUCACGCUAUCAGAUGAGCCUGCGUAAGAUUAGCUUGUUGGUAGGGUAAAAGCCUACCAAGGCGACGAUCUUUAGCUGGUCUGAGAGGAUGAUCAGCCACAUCGGGACUGAGACACGGCCCGAACUCCUACGGGAGGCAGCAGUGGGGAAUAUUGGACAAUGGGGGCAACCCUGAUCCAGCAAUACCGCGUGUGUGAAGAAGGCCUGAGGGUUGUAAAGCACUUUCAAUUGUGAAGAAAAGUUAGCGGUUAAUAACCGUUAGCCUUGACGUUAACUUUAGAAGAAGCACCGGCUAACUCCGUGCCAGCAGCCGCGGUAAUACGGAGGGUGCAAGCGUUAAUCGGAAUUACUGGGCGUAAAGCGUGCGUAGGCGGUUUAUUAAGUCAGAUGUGAAAGCCCCGGGCUUAACCUGGGAACUGCAUUUGAAACUGGUCAACUAGAGUAUGGUAGAGGAAAGUGGAAUUUCUGGUGUAGCGGGUGAAAUGCGUAGAUAUCAGAAGGAACAUCAAUGGGCGGAAGCAGCUUUCUGGACCAAUACUGACGCUGAGGUACGAAAGCGUGGGUAGCAAACAGGAUUAGAUACCCUGGUAGUCCACGCCGUAAACGAUGAUAACUAGCCGUUGGGGGGAUUUACCCUUUAGUGGCGAAGCUAACGCGUUAAGUUAUCCGCCUGGGGAGUACGGCCGCAAGGUUAAAACUCAAAGGAAUUGACGGGGACCCGCACAAGCGGUGGAGCAUGUGGUUUAAUUCGAUGCAACGCGAAGAACCUUACCUGGUCUUGACAUCCUGCGAACUUUCUAGAAAUAGAUUGGUGCCUUCGGGAACGCAGUGGCAGGUGCUGCAUGGCUGUCGUCAGCUCGUGUCGUGAGAUGUUGGGUUAAGUCCCGUAACGAGCGCAACCCCUAUCCUUAUUUGCCAGCACAUCAUGGUGGGAACUAUAAGGAGACUGCCGGUGAUAAACCGGAGGAAGGCGGGGACGACGUCAAGUCAUCAUGGCCCUUACGACCAGGGCUACACACGUGCUACAAUGGGAAGGACAAAGAGCCGCGAAGCCGCGAGGUGUAGCUAAUCUCAUAAACCUUUUCGUAGUCCGGAUUGGAGUCUGCAACUCGACUCCAUGAAGUCGGAAUCGCUAGUAAUCGUAGAUCAGAAUGCUACGGUGAAUACGUUCCCGGGUCUUGUACACACCGC
RNAcentral lists this ribosomal RNA (1374 nucleotides) under uncultured bacterium. RNAcentral's name for it is "16S ribosomal RNA". It matches the Rfam family "Bacterial small subunit ribosomal RNA", at positions 30 to 1393 of the family's 1533-position model. The record is from RNAcentral.